GAUGAACGCUGGCGGCGUGCCUAAUACAUGCAAGUCGAGCGAACGGACGAGAAGCUUGCUUCUCUGAUGUUAGCGGCGGACGGGUGAGUAACACGUGGAUAACCUACCUAUAAGACUGGGAUAACUUCGGGAAACCGGAGCUAAUACCGGAUAAUAUUUUGAACCGCAUGGUUCAAAAGUGAAAGACGGUCCUGCUGUCACUUAUAGAUGGAUCCGCGCUGCAUUAGCUAGUUGGUAAGGUAACGGCUUACCAAGGCAACGAUGCAUAGCCGACCUGAGAGGGUGAUCGGCCACACUGGAACUGAGACACGGUCCAGACUCUUACGGGAGGCAGCAGUAGGGAAUCUUCCGCAAUGGGCGAAAGCCUGACGGAGCAACGCCGCGUGAGUGAUGAAGGUCUUCGGAUCGUAAAACUCUGUUAUUAGGGAAGAACAUAUGUGUAAGUAACUGUGCACAUCUUGACGGUACCUAAUCAGAAAGCCACGGCUAACUACGUG
Molecule: ribosomal RNA, 497 nt
Filed under: uncultured bacterium
Lineage: Bacteria
Description: partial 16S ribosomal RNA
Rfam family: Bacterial small subunit ribosomal RNA
Source: RNAcentral